RNAcentral lists this ribosomal RNA (440 nucleotides) under uncultured bacterium. RNAcentral describes it as "partial 16S ribosomal RNA". It matches the Rfam family "Bacterial small subunit ribosomal RNA", at positions 338 to 795 of the family's 1533-position model. The record is from RNAcentral.
CCUCCGGGUGGCAGCAGUAGGGAAUUUUGCGCAAUGGGCGAAAGCCUGACGCAGCAACACCGCGUGAUCGAGACGCCCUUCGGGGUGUAAAGAUCUGUCAGUGGGGACGAAACUUGACGGUACCUGACCAAGAAGCCCCGGCUAACUACGUGCCAGCAGCCGCGGUAAUACGUAGGGGGCAAGCGUUAUCCGGAUUUACUGGGUGUAAAGGGAGCGUAGACGGCAUGGCAAGUCUGGAGUGAAAGCCCGUGGCCCAACCACGGGACUGCUUUGGAAACUGUGUUGCUGGAGUGCAGGAGGGGUAAGCGGAAUUCCUAGUGUAGCGGUGAAAUGCGUAGAUAUUAGGAGGAACACCGGUGGCGAAGGCGGCUUACUGGACUGUAACUGACGUUGAGGCUCGAAGGCGUGGGGAGCAAACAGGAUUAGAUACCCUUGUAGUC